GGGUCAGUAGGUUGGUCGUGCCACCGUUACGUACUGAUCUCACUGAUUCCUCCUUCCUGAAGAACCGUAAUGCCAUUAAUUUGGUGUUGCGGGGAAACAGGACUGUUACUUUGAAAAAAUUAGAGUGUUUAAAGCAAGCUAACGCUUGAAUACAUUAGCAUGGAAUAAUGAAAUAGGACGAUCGAUCCUAUUUUGUUGGUUUCUAGGAUUGACGUA
Molecule: ribosomal RNA, 216 nt
Filed under: Glomeromycotina sp.
Lineage: Eukaryota; Fungi; Glomeromycota
Description: partial small subunit ribosomal RNA
Rfam family: Eukaryotic small subunit ribosomal RNA (bases 40-216)
Source: RNAcentral